CAGCCGGGAGACGUUGCCGGUGACGGCGACGGCGUUCUGGCCGCCGUUCGAGACCAGCUUCAUCUGGCUGGCCGGCAGC
RNAcentral lists this transfer RNA (79 nucleotides) under Dactylosporangium sucinum. RNAcentral's name for it is "tRNA-Gln". Lineage: Bacteria; Bacillati; Actinomycetota; Actinomycetes; Micromonosporales; Micromonosporaceae. The record is from RNAcentral.